GAACAAAUGCAACAGAAGAAGCAGUAUUCUUAGCAAGACCAAAUGAAAUUGAACUUCGUGGGAACUAUGAUUGCCCUGAGAUGUUAUUGACAGGAAUAAACUUAGAAAUUGAAAAGAGCAGACCAUACUCAUUGUUUUACGUUUUAACUGAUGCUACCGCGAAAGACACAUAUUUGUAUGAAGAGGUUCAAAGAAAGGCCCUAAGUAAAUUUAUACAGGUAACAUUCUUACUGACGGGAGAUUGUAAUCAAAGGGAUAGUCUUAAUUACAAUGUAUACAAGAAACUCGCUAAGGUUACAGGGGGUGAGGUGCUUAAUAUCGAAAAGGACGAAGUAAAAAAGAUAAUGGAUUAUAUAAUUCAUACAAUUAAAUAUAAGAGUGAGAAAAUUUACAAUCGACACUUUCCAGCUCAUUUCAAUGAAAAAAU
Pieris rapae (cabbage white) is the source of this 427-nucleotide long non-coding RNA. RefSeq lists it as uncharacterized. The record is from RefSeq and is a predicted model, not a curated record. NCBI's taxonomy places the organism in Eukaryota, Metazoa, Arthropoda, Insecta, Lepidoptera, Pieridae. The transcript has 3 exons.